GCGCGAUACAGGGUGACAGCCCCGUACACAAAAAUGCACAUGCUGUGAGCUCGAUGAGUAGGGCGGGACACGUGGUAUCCUGUCUGAAUAUGGGGGGACCAUCCUCCAAGGCUAAAUACUCCUGACUGACCGAUAGUGAACCAGUACCGUGAGGGAAAGGCGAAAAGAACCCCGGCGAGGGGAGUGAAAAAGAACCUGAAACCGUGUACGUACAAGCAGUGGGAGCCUCUUUUAUGGGGUGACUGCGUACCUUUUGUAUAAUGGGUCAGCGACUUAUAUUCUGUAGCAAGGUUAACCGAAUAGGGGAGCCGAAGGGAAACCGAGUCUUAACUGGGCGUUAAGUUGCAGGGUAUAGACCCGAAACCCGGUGAUCUAGCCAUGGGCAGGUUGAAGGUUGGGUAACACUAACUGGAGGACCGAACCGACUAAUGUUGAAAAAUUAGCGGAUGACUUGUGGCUGGGGGUGAAAGGCCAAUCAAACCGGGAGAUAGCUGGUUCUCCCCGAAAGCUAUUUAGGUAGCGCCUCGUGAAUUCAUCUCCGGGGGUAGAGCACUGUUUCGGCAAGGGGGUCAUCCCGACUUACCAACCCGAUGCAAACUGCGAAUACCGGAGAAUGUUAUCACGGGAGACACACGGCGGGUGCUAACGUCCGUCGUGAAGAGGGAAACAACCCAGACCGCCAGCUAAGGUCCCAAAGUCAUGGUUAAGUGGGAAACGAUGUGGGAAGGCCCAGACAGCCAGGAUGUUGGCUUAGAAGCAGCCAUCAUUUAAAGAAAGCGUAAUAGCUCACUGGUCGAGUCGGCCUGCGCGGAAGAUGUAACGGGGCUAAACCAUGCACCGAAGCUGCGGCAGCGACGCUUAUGCGUUGUUGGGUAGGGGAGCGUUCUGUAAGCCUGUGAAGGUGUGCUGUGAGGCAUGCUGGAGGUAUCAGAAGUGCGAAUGCUGACAUAAGUAACGAUAAAGCGGGUGAAAAGCCCGCUCGCCGGAAGACCAAGGGUUCCUGUCCAACGUUAAUCGGGGCAGGGUGAGUCGACCCCUAAGGCGAGGCCGAAAGGCGUAGUCGAUGGGAAACAGGUUAAUAUUCCUGUACUUGGUGUUACUGCGAAGGGGGGACGGAGAAGGCUAUGUUGGCCGGGCGACGGUUGUCCCGGUUUAAGCGUGUAGGCUGGUUUUCCAGGCAAAUCCGGAAAAUCAAGGCUGAGGCGUGAUGACGAGGCACUACGGUGCUGAAGCAACAAAUGCCCUGCUUCCAGGAAAAGCCUCUAAGCAUCAGGUAACAUCAAAUCGUACCCCAAACCGACACAGGUGGUCAGGUAGAGAAUACCAAGGCGCUUGAGAGAACUCGGGUGAAGGAACUAGGCAAAAUGGUGCCGUAACUUCGGGAGAAGGCACGCUGAUAUGUAGGUGAAGUCCCUCGCGGAUGGAGCUGAAAUCAGUCGAAGAUACCAGCUGGCUGCAACUGUUUAUUAAAAACACAGCACUGUGCAAACACGAAAGUGGACGUAUACGGUGUGACGCCUGCCCGGUGCCGGAAGGUUAAUUGAUGGGGUCAGCGCAAGCGAAGCUCUUGAUCGAAGCCCCGGUAAACGGCGGCCGUAACUAUAACGGUCCUAAGGUAGCGAAAUUCCUUGUCGGGUAAGUUCCGACCUGCACGAAUGGCGUAAUGAUGGCCAGGCUGUCUCCACCCGAGACUCAGUGAAAUUGAACUCGCUGUGAAGAUGCAGUGUACCCGCGGCAAGACGGAAAGACCCCGUGAACCUUUACUAUAGCUUGACACUGAACAUUGAGCCUUGAUGUGUAGGAUAGGUGGGAGGCUUUGAAGUGUGGACGCCAGUCUGCAUGGAGCCGACCUUGAAAUACCACCCUUUAAUGUUUGAUGUUCUAACGUUGACCCGUAAUCCGGGUUGCGGACAGUGUCUGGUGGGUAGUUUGACUGGGGCGGUCUCCUCCUAAAGAGUAACGGAGGAGCACGAAGGUUGGCUAAUCCUGGUCGGACAUCAGGAGGUUAGUGCAAUGGCAUAAGCCAGCUUGACUGCGAGCGUGACGGCGCGAGCAGGUGCGAAAGCAGGUCAUAGUGAUCCGGUGGUUCUGAAUGGAAGGGCCAUCGCUCAACGGAUAAAAGGUACUCCGGGGAUAACAGGCUGAUACCGCCCAAGAGUUCAUAUCGACGGCGGUGUUUGGCACCUCGAUGUCGGCUCAUCACAUCCUGGGGCUGAAGUAGGUCCCAAGGGUAUGGCUGUUCGCCAUUUAAAGUGGUACGCGAGCUGGGUUUAGAACGUCGUGAGACAGUUCGGUCCCUAUCUGCCGUGGGCGCUGGAGAACUGAGGGGGGCUGCUCCUAGUACGAGAGGACCGGAGUGGACGCAUCACUGGUGUUCGGGUUGUCAUGCCAAUGGCACUGCCCGGUAGCUAAAUGCGGAAGAGAUAAGUGCUGAAAGCAUCUAAGCACGAAACUUGCCCCGAGAUGAGUUCUCCCUGACCCUUUAAGGGUCCUGAAGGAACGUUGAAGACGACGACGUUGAUAGGCCGGGUGUGUAAGCGCAGCGAUGCGUUGAGCUAACCGGUACUAAUGAACCGUGAGGCUUAACCUUACAACGCCGAAGCUGUU
RNAcentral lists this ribosomal RNA (2607 nucleotides) under Escherichia coli. RNAcentral's name for it is "partial 23S ribosomal RNA". It matches the Rfam family "Bacterial large subunit ribosomal RNA", at positions 352 to 2925 of the family's 2925-position model. Lineage: Bacteria; Pseudomonadati; Pseudomonadota; Gammaproteobacteria; Enterobacterales; Enterobacteriaceae. The record is from RNAcentral.